AACGAACGCUGGCGGCAUGCCUAACACAUGCAAGUCGAACGAGACCUUCGGGUCUAGUGGCGCACGGUUUCGUAACGCGUGGGAACCUGCCCUUAGGUUCGGAAUAACUCCCCGAAAGGGGUGCUAAUACCGGAUAAUGUCUUCGGACCAAAGAUUUAUCGCCUUUGGAUGGGCCCGCGUUGGAUUAGCUAGUUGGUAGGGUAAAAGCCUACCAAGGCGACGAUCCAUAGCUGGUCUGAGAGGAUGAUCAGCCACACUGGGACUGAGACACGGCCCAGACUCCUACGGGAGGCAGCAGUGGGGAAUAUUGGACAAUGGGCGAAAGCCUGAUCCAGCAAUGCCGCGUGAGUGAUGAAGGCCUUAGGGUUGUAAAGCUCUUUUACCCGGGAUGAUAAUGACAGUACCGGGAGAAUAAGCUCCGGCUAACUCCGUG
Molecule: ribosomal RNA, 433 nt
Filed under: uncultured bacterium
Lineage: Bacteria
Description: partial 16S ribosomal RNA
Rfam family: Bacterial small subunit ribosomal RNA
Source: RNAcentral